UCCCUGGUGGCUAAGAGGGUAUAGAGUCAGCCUGCAAUGCGGAAGACCCAGGUUUGAUCCCUGGGUCGGGAA
RNAcentral lists this transfer RNA (72 nucleotides) under Bos taurus (domestic cattle). It matches the Rfam family "tRNA". From Rfam's summary of the family: Transfer RNA (tRNA) molecules are approximately 80 nucleotides in length. Their secondary structure includes four short double-helical elements and three loops (D, anti-codon, and T loops). Further hydrogen bonds mediate the characteristic L-shaped molecular structure. tRNAs have two regions of fundamental functional importance: the anti-codon, which is responsible for specific mRNA codon recognition, and the 3' end, to which the tRNAs corresponding amino acid is attached (by aminoacyl-tRNA synthetases). tRNAs cope with the degeneracy of the genetic code in two manners: having more than one tRNA (with a specific anti-codon) for a particular amino acid; and 'wobble' base-pairing, i.e. permitting non-standard base-pairing at the 3rd anti-codon position. RNAcentral also lists the same sequence under 1 other name. Lineage: Eukaryota; Metazoa; Chordata; Mammalia; Artiodactyla; Bovidae. The record is from Rfam by way of RNAcentral.